This is a non-coding RNA of Schistosoma haematobium, 46 nucleotides long. NCBI's taxonomy places the organism in Eukaryota, Metazoa, Platyhelminthes, Trematoda, Strigeidida, Schistosomatidae. The record is from Rfam.
AGACUGCUGAGGAGUCCCAUACUAGGACGAAACGGCCGUCCAGUGC